RNAcentral lists this long non-coding RNA (293 nucleotides) under Prunus persica (peach). RNAcentral's name for it is "long non-coding RNA (PPER_LNC004067)". Lineage: Eukaryota; Viridiplantae; Streptophyta; Magnoliopsida; Rosales; Rosaceae. The record is from RNAcentral.
UGCCUUAUAUGUAAAUGCUCGCCUCCAUCUAGCACGAGACAUUUGGGAGCUCAAUGGCUUCGGAGUCAUGGGAACUCCGAAGUUAAGCAAGUUGGGGGCUAGAGCAAUCCCAAGAUGGGUGACCCACUGGGAAGUUGCUCGUGAGUUCGCAGAAACAAAACUGUGAGGGUAAAGAUGGGGGCCCAGAGCGGAAAAUAUCGUGCUACGGCGAAACCGAUCUCGGGAUGUGACACUGCCUAUAUACCCUUACUAAGGGAUCAAGCCACACGUAAUUCUUUCUACAAAAAUCCCGG